Molecule: ribosomal RNA, 254 nt
Filed under: uncultured bacterium
Lineage: Bacteria
Description: partial 16S ribosomal RNA
Rfam family: Bacterial small subunit ribosomal RNA
Source: RNAcentral
UACGGGGGGAGCAAGCGUUGUUCGGAUUUACUGGGCGUAAAGGGCGCGUAGGCGGCCACCGCAAGUCGACUGUGAAAUCUCCGGGCUUAACCCGGAAAGGUCAGCCGAUACUGCGGGGCUAGAGUGCAGAAGGGGCAACUGGAAUUCUCGGUGUAGCGGUGAAAUGCGUAGAUAUCUGGAGGAACACCGGUGGCGAAGGCGGCAUCCUGGACCAACACUGACACUGAAAAGCGAAAGCCAGGGGAGCAAACGGG